Molecule: long non-coding RNA, 325 nt
Filed under: Citrus sinensis (sweet orange)
Lineage: Eukaryota; Viridiplantae; Streptophyta; Magnoliopsida; Sapindales; Rutaceae
Description: long non-coding RNA (CSIN_LNC004576)
Source: RNAcentral
AGAGCAAUUUAGGGAGUUGAGAGAGAGUUCAAGAGCUUGCAUUUAUAAGCUCUUGUUACAGUGAUUGAGAGAGUUUGGGUGUAUUGGGGUUUUGGGUAGUGAGCUAAAAUACUACAAUACUUGUAACUCCUUUUCACUAGUAAAAUAUUUCCUUCUGUCUUCGCCCGUGGAUGUAGGAUAAAAGCCGAACCACGUAAUUUCUGGUGUCCUCUAUUGUGCUUGUUCUUUAUUUUAUUUCCAAUUUCAUUUUAGCUGCGGUCCUGCUUCACCCACCAAUUUCCUAACAGUGGUAUCAGAGCUAUUGGUUGUAUUUUUUGGAGUCAGG